RNAcentral lists this ribosomal RNA (696 nucleotides) under uncultured bacterium. RNAcentral describes it as "bacterial SSU rRNA". It matches the Rfam family "Bacterial small subunit ribosomal RNA", at positions 32 to 715 of the family's 1533-position model. The record is from RNAcentral.
AACGCUAGCUACAGGCUUAACACAUGCAAGUCGAGGGGAAACGACAUCGAAAGCUUGCUUUUGAUGGGCGUCGACCGGCGCACGGGUGAGUAACGCGUAUCCAACCUGCCCACCACUUGGGGAUAACCUUGCGAAAGUAAGACUAAUACCCAAUGAUAUCUCUAGAAGACAUCUGAAAGAGAUUAAAGAUUUAUCGGUGAUGGAUGGGGAUGCGUCUGAUUAGCUUGUUGGCGGGGUAACGGCCCACCAAGGCUACGAUCAGUAGGGGUUCUGAGAGGAAGGUCCCCCACAUUGGAACUGAGACACGGUCCAAACUCCUACGGGAGGCAGCAGUGAGGAAUAUUGGUCAAUGGACGAGAGUCUGAACCAGCCAAGUAGCGUGCAGGAUGACGGCCCUAUGGGUUGUAAACUGCUUUUAUAAGGGAAUAAAGUGAGUCUCGUGAGGCUUUUUGCAUGUACCUUAUGAAUAAGGACCGGCUAAUUCCGUGCCAGCAGCCGCGGUAAUACGGAAGGUCCGGGCGUUAUCCGGAUUUAUUGGGUUUAAAGGGAGCGUAGGCCGGAGAUUAAGCGUGUUGUGAAAUGUAGACGCUCAACGUCUGCACUGCAGCGCGAACUGGUUUCCUUGAGUACGCACAAAGUGGGCGGAAUUCGUGGUGUAGCGGUGAAAUGCUUAGAUAUCACGAAGAACUCCGAUUG